Ictalurus punctatus (channel catfish) is the source of this 1535-nucleotide long non-coding RNA. RefSeq lists it as uncharacterized. The record is from RefSeq and is a predicted model, not a curated record. NCBI's taxonomy places the organism in Eukaryota, Metazoa, Chordata, Actinopteri, Siluriformes, Ictaluridae. The transcript is spliced from 3 exons.
CAAUAUGAUGGUUAUUGCUAGGGAGAAAUUGGACCUGUUUAUAAAUAAAAUAAAGGACGUUCCCUGUAUAAUUACAGAUAGAAUGUGCCCUGCACGUGCUGUUCGGAUUCGUACAAUAUUACAAGAACGUGUUUUUUUAGUAUUAGGUACAUCAUUUUUUAAAUUCUGUUGCUCUCUGCUUAUUGACUAUAUUUCAUUUAACAAGUAGUGUGAAAAUAACGUGCAUCUGCGCAUGCGUCAGGCUGAGAGAUGAGAGGCGCGUGACGUUAGCCGCCUGACAUUAACACAAUACAUUAAUAAAUACCAAGGAGUGCGAGUAAGAGCGACAGGCUCACAGAGUCCUGAAGGAGAAGUACGAUGAGAUGAAGGAGGAGUUAAAGCAGAAUGAGGAGUUACUGAAGUGCCUGAUGAAGGACAAAUCAGACAGAAUUCACCAGGAGAAAAGUAUUUAUUGGAGGAUCAGCGCCGGCACUGAGAGAUAAAACACACACUGCAAUACAAAACUAUAAUUUAACAACAUGUACAAAAUGCAAAUAUAAAACUGUACAUAAUUUUACAAUUUAACAAUAUUUAAAAUUUUCCCUACACACUGAAACACACACACACACACACACACACACACACACACAGUCACAUACAUUAGAGUGAUAGGAAACUGUUAAGUAAAGGAGGACCAUGUGUGUGACUGAUACAGUCAUGAUGGGUGCGUGUGUGUGUGUGCGUGUGUGUGUGUGCGUGUGUGUGUGUGUGUGCGUGUGUGUGCGUGUGUGUGUGUGUGUGUAAAUUGUGCGUGUGUGUGUACGAGUGAUAUGGACACAUUCAGGAUGGGGUUUUCUUGUGGGUUCUCGUGUUCACUGGAAGCUCCACACCUCGAGCGCCCGCACGCUGAAGUCCUGAUGUGGACACAGAGGAGCGUUACGGAACGUGUUACAGGGAAACGUUGAGCCACGGAGAAGAUCCGAGUCUAACCACAACCCGAACGGCCCUCUGGAGACACACACACACACACACACAGAUCAGGUUCUGCUGUAUCGAACCCUAACUGUAACACUGAUGUCCGUUAUAUUAAAAAACCUAAUAAAGUUACAGUAAUAAUCUGAUUAUCUGAUGUUAGCAGUUAAGAUUAAAGUGAGUACUGGAUUUUCUGAAAUCUGAUAAACAUCUGGAUUUCAGCUCAAUAAUCAGAUUAUUCAGUGAGUUUAAAGUGAUAAGUCUGAGUGUGUGUGAUGUUUAUUUGUGUGUGUUGGUGAAGUGAUGUGGUGUUUAUCAGCGACACUCAGGAGAUCAAACUGUUACGUUCAGCAGAACCCUAAAUCACAUGUUCCGGAGUGAUCAUAAACCAAAUCUGAUUACUGAUGAUUGACGAUUGGUUACUGGAUUCAAACCCAGAUUACUGACGCGCAGGUGAAGGUGUGGAUGAAGCGACUCACCCUCCUGCUCCCAGCUGCAGAGAGUCGAGGAACCCUCUCACAAAGUAUGAGUUCUCUCCACUCCACCGGAACAUCUACACACACACACACACACACACACACACA